This 586-nucleotide ribosomal RNA is filed under the name uncultured bacterium. RNAcentral's name for it is "partial 16S ribosomal RNA". It matches the Rfam family "Bacterial small subunit ribosomal RNA", at positions 355 to 1375 of the family's 1533-position model. The record is from RNAcentral.
UGGGGAAUUUUGGACAAUGGGCGAAAGCCUGAUCCAGCAAUGCCGCGUGUGUGAAGAAGGCCUUCGGGUUGUAAAGCACUUUUGUCCGGAAAGAAAUCCUUGGCUCUAAUACAGUCGGGGGAUGACGGUACCGGAAGAAUAAGCACCGGCUAACUACGUGCCAGCAGCCGCGGUAAUACGUAGGGUGCAAGCGUUAAUCGGAAUUACUGGGCGUAAAGCGUGCGCAGGCGGUUUGCUAAGACCGAUGUGAAAUCCCCGGGCUCAACCUGGGAACUGCAUUGGUGACUGGCAGGCUAGAGUAUGGCAGAGGGGGGUAGAAUUCCACGUGUAGCAGUGAAGAUGCGUAGAGAUGUGGAGGAAUACCGAUGGCGAAGGCAGCCCCCUGGGCCAAUACUGACGCUCAUGCACGAAAGCGUGGGGAGCAAACAGGAUUAGAUACCCUGGUAGUCCACGCCCUAAACGAUGUCAACUAGUUGUUGGGGAUUCAUUUCCUUAGUAACGUAGCUAACGCGUGAAGUUGACCGCCUGGGGAGUACGGUCGCAAGAUUAAAACUCAAAGGAAUUGACGGGGUCAUAGCUGUUUCCU